This 479-nucleotide ribosomal RNA is filed under the name Mycobacterium engbaekii. RNAcentral describes it as "Mycolicibacter engbaekii bacterial SSU rRNA". It matches the Rfam family "Bacterial small subunit ribosomal RNA", at positions 28 to 508 of the family's 1533-position model. The record is from RNAcentral. Lineage: Bacteria; Bacillati; Actinomycetota; Actinomycetes; Mycobacteriales; Mycobacteriaceae.
GACGAACGCUGGCGGCGUGCUUAACACAUGCAAGUCGAACGGAAAGGCCCCUUCGGGGGUACUCGAGUGGCGAACGGGUGAGUAACACGUGGGUGAUCUGCCCUGCACUCUGGGAUAAGCCUGGGAAACUGGGUCUAAUACCGGAUAGGACCGCGCGCUUCAUGGUGUGUGGUGGAAAGCUUUUGCGGUGUGGGAUGGGCCCGCGGCCUAUCAGCUUGUUGGUGGGGUAAUGGCCUACCAAGGCGACGACGGGUAGCCGGCCUGAGAGGGUGACCGGCCACACUGGGACUGAGAUACGGCCCAGACUCCUACGGGAGGCAGCAGUGGGGAAUAUUGCACAAUGGGCGCAAGCCUGAUGCAGCGACGCCGCGUGGGGGAUGACGGCCUUCGGGUUGUAAACCUCUUUCAGUAUCGGCGAAGCUCCGUGGUUUUCUGCGGGGUGACGGUAGGUACAGAAGAAGCACCGGCCAACUACGUGC